GUGGCGGCCGAGCACAUGGGCCCGCGGGCCGGGCGGGCUCGGGGCGGCCGGGACGAGGAGGGGCGACGACGAGCUGCGAGCAAAGAUGUGCCCCGGGACCCCCGGCACCUUCCAGUGGAUUUCCUUGCGGAAAGGAUGUUGGCGGUCCCUGUGACCUGUGGAGACACGGCCAGAUCUGCCCUCCAGCCUGAUCUUUUGGCCAGAAGGAGAUUAAAAAGAUGCCCCUCAAGAUGGCUGUGCCUGUCAGCUGCAUGGAGCUUCGUUCAAGUAUUUUCUGAGCCUGAUGGAUUUACAGUGAUCUUCAGUGGUCUGGGGAAUAACGCUGGUGGAACCAUGCACUGGAAUGACACACGCCCGGCACAUUUCAGGAUACUAAAAGUGGUUUUAAGGGAGGCUGUGGCUGAAUGCCUCAUGGAUUCUUACAGCUUGGAUGUCCAUGGGGGACGAAGGACUGCAGCUGGCUGAGAGGGUUGAGAUCUCUGUUUACUUAGAUCUCUGCCAACUUCCUUUGGGUCUCCCUAUGGAAUGUAAGACCCCGACUCUUCCUGGUGAAGCAUCUGAUGCACGUUCCAUCCGGCGCUCAGCUGGGCUUGAGCUGACCAUACUCCCUGGAGCCUUCUCCCGAGGUGCGCGGGUGACCUUGGCACAUACAGCCAUCAUGAUGGUACUUUAAGUGGAGGCUGAAUCAUCUCCCCUUUGAGCUGCUUGGCACGUGGCUCCCUUGGUGUUCCCCUUUUACUGCCAGGACACUGAGAUUUGGAGAGAAUCCUGUUACACCUGGGAUUUAGGCACUUUCAAUCUGAAAAAAUACAUAUCCUUUCAGCACUCUGGACGGACUUGAGAACUGUCCUUACGUGACCUAAAGCUGGAGUAUUUUGAGAUUGGAGAAUUAAGGUUGCCCUGGUGCUCUGCAGUGGCAGGGCUGAGAUGAUUAUACAACCUGCACUCCAGGCCAAGUCCGGUACUCGUCCCAGCUGUCGGCUAAGCCUGCACUGCUAUGGAAGGACAGAAUAACGGGCUCCCAGAUUCACAAGCCCCACCAAGAGGAUCACCCCAGGAACGCUUGGAGGCUGAGGAGUUCACUGAGGCUACUGCAUCUUGAGACUCAGGAUGAAGACCCAGCUUGGGGCUGUCAAAGGUUUUUUGCAUGUCUGACACCCAUGACUCCACCUGGACCUUAUGGCUCCACCCAGAAGCAAUUCAGCCCAACAGGAGGACAGCUUCAACCCAUUACGAUUUCAUCUCUGCCCCAACCACUCAGCAGCAAGCACCUGUUACCUGUCCACCCCCACCCCUUCCCCCAAACUGCCUUUGAAAAAUCCCUAACCUAUGAGCUUUGAAUAAGAUGAGUACGAACUUCAUCGCCCACGUGGCGUGGCCGGCCUCGUGUCUAUUAAAUUCUUUUUCUACU
This 1411-nucleotide long non-coding RNA is filed under the name Homo sapiens (human). Its description in RNAcentral is "Pvt1 oncogene". The stretch from base 8 to 185 matches the Rfam family "Pvt1 oncogene conserved region 1". Lineage: Eukaryota; Metazoa; Chordata; Mammalia; Primates; Hominidae. The record is from RNAcentral.